Molecule: ribosomal RNA, 381 nt
Filed under: uncultured archaeon
Lineage: Archaea
Description: bacterial SSU rRNA
Rfam family: Archaeal small subunit ribosomal RNA
Source: RNAcentral
CCACCGGCGGCCCGAGUGGUGAUCGUGAUUAUUGGGUCUAAAGGGUCCGUAGCCGGCUUGGUCAGUCCUCCGGGAAGUCUGACGGCUCAACCGUUAGGCUUUCGGUGGAUACUGCCAGACUUGGAACCGGGAGAGGUAAGAGGUACUACAGGGGUAGGAGUGAAAUCUUGUAAUCCCUGUGAGACCACCUGCGGCGAAGGCGUCUUACCAGAACGGGUCCGACGGUGAGGGACGAAAGCUGGGGGCACGAACCGGAUUAGAUACCCGGGUAGUCCCAGCCGUAAACGAUGCUAGCUAGGUGUCAGGCAUGGCGCGACCGUGUCUGGUGCCGCAGGGAAGCCGUGAAGCGAGCCACCUGGGAAGUACGGCCGCAAGGCUGAA